AUUGAACGCUGGCGGCAGGCCUAACACAUGCAAGUCGAGCGGAUGAAGGGAGCUUGCUCCUGGAUUCAGCGGCGGACGGGUGAGUAAUGCCUAGGAAUCUGCCUGGUAGUGGGGGAUAACGUCCGGAAACGGGCGCUAAUACCGCAUACGUCCUGAGGGAGAAAGUGGGGGAUCUUCGGACCUCACGCUAUCAGAUGAGCCUAGGUCGGAUUAGCUAGUUGGUGGGGUAAAGGCCUACCAAGGCGACGAUCCGUAACUGGUCUGAGAGGAUGAUCAGUCACACUGGAACGUGAACACGGUCCAGACUCCUACGGGAGGCAGCAGUGGGGAAUAUUGGACAAUGGGCGAAAGCCUGAUCCAGCCAUGCCGCGUGUGUGAAGAAGGUCUUCGGAUUGUAAAGCACUUUAAGUUGGGAGGAAGGGCAGUAAGUUAAUACCUUGCUGUUUUGACGUUACCAACAGAAUAAGCACCGGCUAACUUCGUG
Molecule: ribosomal RNA, 484 nt
Filed under: uncultured bacterium
Lineage: Bacteria
Description: partial 16S ribosomal RNA
Rfam family: Bacterial small subunit ribosomal RNA
Source: RNAcentral